This 379-nucleotide ribosomal RNA is filed under the name uncultured organism. Its description in RNAcentral is "partial 16S ribosomal RNA". It matches the Rfam family "Bacterial small subunit ribosomal RNA", at positions 525 to 896 of the family's 1533-position model. The record is from RNAcentral.
GGAGGGGGGGCUAGCGUUGUUCGGAAUUACUGGGCGUAAAGCGCGCGUAGGCGGGGGGCUGGUCAGUUGGGGGGGGGUGAAAUCCCGAGGGCUCAACCUCGGAACUGCCCCCAAUACUACCAGUCUUGAGUUCGAGAGAGGUGAGUGGAAUUCCUAGUGUAGAGGUGAAAUUCGUAGAUAUUAGGAAGAACACCAGUGGCGAAGGCGGCUCACUGGCUCGAUACUGACGCUGAGGCGCGAAAGCGUGGGGAGCAAACAGGAUUAGAUACCCUGGUAGUCCACGCCGUAAACGAUGGGUGCUAGUUGUCGGGCGGCAUGCCGUUCGGUGACGCAGCUAACGCGUUAAGCACCCCGCCUGGGGACUACGGUCGCAAGACUA